AAUUCCAGAGAUUAGUCGGUUAAGAGAAAUCAUGAAGUAUGAACAUAAUGCAAUAGAAUUAUGAUCUUCAGUUACCUACCCUUUCACUUGAACUCUAAUUCUGCUAAAUUUAUCAAAUUGAUGCGAUGGAUGAUCCAUAAUCAGCAAGCCUUAUUAAGUUAUGAACAUUACGUUCCCCAUGCCUAUUUAAUCAUGAUAAGAGGGAGAUAAAUUCUUCCGGUACAUUGAGACCUAUUACUUACAUUUAAUGCAAGAAUUCAAUUAAGUUAUGUACCAUUGUACCUUAUAAUUCCUCAGUAUCAGCGAAUUGGAUUCAUGUAUAGAGUGUUAUCCUUAUGUAACUUUGACGAAGUGUCUUCAGCUUUCCAACUUUGUUAUUAUAACUUAGUUCGGGCCUAUGUAAGUUUGAGUUGCUUGUUAAGAGUAAUGAGCCGUGUUUCGUUAAGGACUAUCAGUUAUUCAUGUCGACCUUAAGAACAGUAACAUUAUGUUUAUCACCAAGAAAUUCUCCAAUCUUUUAGCAUCAUUACCGAGGACCGGUUCAGAAUCACAGAAGUCAAAUUAGCAAUUAAGGAUCCCUAGAAAUUAAGUUCAAACUCUCGCUCGUCUUGUUAACCUGUCAAGCAGCAUGGUUAAGGUACCACGAACGUUGGAAACGUUACUGUAAUCAAUUAAGUUCAUCUUUCUUUAUAAGGUCUUACCAUUUCAAUUUGGAUAAAAAUCCAAAACCAUCCAGAGAUAUAAGAGGUAACCUCGAUGAACAUCGAUGGAAUGAGAUAAUAGUAAGUGAUAAAAAGUGAAGUGUUGCAGACAUGUUAGAUGGUUGUAAAGUAUUAUGUAUACAGUGGUGCGCCUGUCGUCACAAAACGAUGCAAGUGUUGUUUUGUGAUAUCUAUGGUACGAGAAGUAAUAAUAAAAGCAAUAACACCGAAUAAGAUGAGACGAUGUGUGACAAUGUCAGGGAAUUUGUAGACGAAGACUGUAAUGACGCGUAGAGAGAAUGCCAGUAAGUAGUCGAAUCAGAGUGCGCAGCCGGGAAGUGGUUGAGAAUGUAGUUAGUAGAUUGACUUGUAGUUCAACAACUCUUUGAGAGAGGAAAAUUUUAUUCCAAAGAAUUGAAAGUGGGGAACCAUAAAAUGAUUAAAGAUCGUAUGACGAGUAAGUUACGCAAAUGUUCAUGUUUGGACCUGAGAUUGUAAGUAUAGAAUAACCUUGAGAGCCAAGUUUGUGAUGGUAAAACGAUUCAUUUGAGAAGUUUGAUGUGGUGAACUAGUAAGAUUAAGUAUGCUCCGGCGUUGAAUUGAAAAGUGCAAAAGGAGAAAAGUUGCUCCGUGAGCGUUUAAGCUGAGGAAAAGUAACAGAGGGAGCUAAUAUAAGAUGAGUAUGUAUCUAAAAGUUGUAUUAUGUGCUGAGAUUAUGAGUUCAACUUCAUGGAAUAAACGAGUAGGAUUUCCAAAAGUAUCAUAAGUGAACGCCAACGCAGUGAAGAAUGACAAUUACUAACCUUGAACGAUAAAUCAUGAUCAAUUAAGAAACGAAAUC
Molecule: long non-coding RNA, 1542 nt
Filed under: Trifolium pratense (red clover)
Lineage: Eukaryota; Viridiplantae; Streptophyta; Magnoliopsida; Fabales; Fabaceae
Description: long non-coding RNA (TPRA_LNC013085)
Source: RNAcentral